This 497-nucleotide ribosomal RNA is filed under the name uncultured bacterium. RNAcentral's name for it is "partial 16S ribosomal RNA". It matches the Rfam family "Bacterial small subunit ribosomal RNA", at positions 28 to 507 of the family's 1533-position model. The record is from RNAcentral.
GAUGAACGCUGGCGGCGUGCCUAAUACAUGCAAGUCGAGCGAACAGACGAGGAGCUUGCUCCUCUGACGUUAGCGGCGGACGGGUGAGUAACACGUGGGUAACCUACCUAUAAGACUGGGAUAACUUCGGGAAACCGGAGCUAAUACCGGAUAAUAUAUUGAACCGCAUGGUUCAAUAGUGAAAGACGGUUUUGCUGUCACUUAUAGAUGGAUCCGCGCCGCAUUAGCUAGUUGGUAAGGUAACGGCUUACCAAGGCAACGAUGCGUAGCCGACCUGAGAGGGUGAUCGGCCACACGGGAACUGAGACACGGUCCAGACUCCUACGCGAGGCAGCAGUAGGGAGUCUUCCGCAAUGGAAGAAAGCCUGACGGAGCAACGCCGCGUGAGUGUUGAAGGUCUUCGGAUCGUAAAACUCUGUUAUGAGGGAGGAACAAAUGUGUAAGUAACUAUGCACGUCUUGACGGUAACUAAUCAGAAAGCCACGGCUAACUACGUG